UCUGGGUACAGUGGCUAAUGCCUAUAAUCCCAGCAUUUUAGGAGGCCAAGGUGGGAGGAUCACUUGAGCCUCAGAAUUCGAGGCUGCAGUGAGCUAUGACCAUGCCCACUGCACUUCAGACUUCAACCUGGGCAACAGAGGCCCUGCCUCUUAAAAAAAACAAAAGAAAGAAAAACAUGGUGUCCUCCUGGGAGUGAAAGACCAGCAGGUUGCCUACAAAGGGGUGAACUGACCCAGGUUGGAAACUGAGCAGGUCAAAACUCCUGUGCUGAUUAGUAGUGGGAUUGCACCUUUGAAUAUCCACUGCACUGUAGCCUGGCCAACACAGUGAGACCCCAUGUCU
This 343-nucleotide signal recognition particle RNA is filed under the name Chlorocebus sabaeus (green monkey). RNAcentral's name for it is "Metazoan signal recognition particle RNA (ENSCSAG00000027693.1)". It matches the Rfam family "Metazoan signal recognition particle RNA". Rfam says of the family: The signal recognition particle (SRP) is a universally conserved ribonucleoprotein. It is involved in the co-translational targeting of proteins to membranes. The eukaryotic SRP consists of a 300-nucleotide 7S RNA and six proteins: SRPs 72, 68, 54, 19, 14, and 9. The record is from RNAcentral. Lineage: Eukaryota; Metazoa; Chordata; Mammalia; Primates; Cercopithecidae.